This 305-nucleotide ribosomal RNA is filed under the name uncultured bacterium. Its description in RNAcentral is "bacterial SSU rRNA". It matches the Rfam family "Bacterial small subunit ribosomal RNA", at positions 335 to 658 of the family's 1533-position model. The record is from RNAcentral.
CACCUACGGGAGGCAGCAGUGGGGAAUAUUGCACAAUGGGGGGAACCCUGAUGCAGCGACGCCGCGUGGGUGAAGGAGUACUUUGGUACGUAAAGCCGUAUCAGCAGGAAAGAAAAUGACGGUACCUGACUAAGAAGCCCCGGCUAACUACGUGCCAGCAGCCGCGGUAAUACGCAGGGGGCAAGCGUUAUCCGGAUUUACUGGGUGUAAAGGGGGCGCAGACGGCGAUGCAAGCCAGGAGUGAAAGCCCGGGGCCCAACCCCGGGACUGCUCUUGGAACUGCGUGGCUAGAGUGCAGGAGGGGG